CAAGUUGCGUUCUUUAGCCUUACAUCUUGGCCUGCGCAUCAGGAUUGGGGUCUGGGUACGAAUCUAGAAGCACGAAAGCUGGAGGAAGAGACCAAAGAUCUUAGAUCAGGGGAUAGGGACAUAGCUCCUGAGGCCGGCUGGAUUUCGCAUCAAGCGAAACCUUCGACUCCAGAACCGGGGGUGGGGUGUCCUCUCGGAGGGGGCUUGGUAGCCCCUGCCACUCAUCCCUGACAAGUGUCGAGGAAGGGUGUUUCACCAUGGCUGAGGCCACGGAGCCCAAGGAGAUCGCUCUUGGUCCCCAGGGGCAACCUGAAGCUGCGAAGAUUGAGGGUCUAGAAGAACCUGGGACUGCAGACCCGGAGGGGCGGGAAGCGAGCAAGGGAACUGCAGAGGCACCCAGGGAGCAGGAAGCGGGCGCAGAAGCGACUGCCUCGGGCAGUGGGCCGGACGGAGGGAUCGGGGGAGCGCAGGCGCAGGACCGGCAGACUGACCCCUGGACUGAGACUCCGGGCGCGAGUGGAGAGCAGGGUGAAGUUGAGGCUGCAGAACGAGACCCAGAGGGCGCCGGGGUCCUGCAGGGAGCGGAGGAGGAGCCGGUCGCCCAGCAGGUGCGAGAGCCGAGCCCUGGGCUCGGCGAGCCGGGCGAGGCCCGGGAAAUCCCUGGGGCCGAUCGCCAGCAGCCGGAGGACCCUACGAGCUCAGAGGCGUGGAAGGAGGUAGAGUCCAGUCUGGAAGAGCAGGGAGGCAGUGCACCAGGGUCGCAGAUCAAUACUGAAGCCCAGGGACCUGCAGGGUACAGCAUGGACACAGAUGCACCAGUAGGAGAGGCACAGGAGUCAGGGGGUGAGCAUCAGGGUGGAGGGGAAAGCAGCUCAGAGCCCCAGGCUGAGGCGACUGAGGUCGCAGCCACAAAAGUCGAAGAGCACGACCCCAGGGAGCUGGCGGGAACUCCCACCGCAGAUGCCGCGGGGGAAUCGGGAGCCCUGGGGAAAGACGGGUCGGAAGAAGCAGCUCCCGAGGAGGCCAGGGUAGACGCUGGAGAGAAUGGGAAGCAGGGCGAACUCCAGGAGGAGACCGGGGAGGAAGAAGCGAGGCCAGAACGAGGGUUGGAGGGACGCUGUGAGGAGGGCGUCCAGGAGAAGCUCCCCGACGGCAGCCCUGAUGAGGAGGAGGCCAAAUCCACCCGGCACGACCAGUCCCAGGCGGAGCUCAGCAUCAACAACCACCUUACUGAGGAGCCCAGCGCUCAGGGCGGAGAAGAAUUGGAACAAGUGAAUGGCCGCAGGCAGAAUGGCCCCGCGUCCGAGGUGGGGGAGCCGGGACAGGAGCACGACAUCACCCUCUUUGUCAAGGCUGGUUAUGAUGGCGAGAGCAUUGGAAACUGCCCGUUUUCUCAGCGUCUCUUCAUGAUCCUCUGGCUAAAGGGUGUGAUAUUCAAUGUGACGACAGUGGACUUGAAAAGGAAGCCUGCAGACCUUCAGAACCUGGCUCCCGGGACGAACCCUCCUUUCAUGACUUUUGAUGGUGAAGUCAAGACCGACGUGAAUAAGAUUGAGGAGUUCUUAGAGGAGAAGUUAGUUCCCCCAAGGUACCCUAAGCUGGGAACCCAACAUCCUGAAUCCAACUCGGCAGGAAAUGAUGUUUUUGCCAAAUUCUCAGCAUUUAUUAAAAACACCAAGAAGGAUGCAAACGAAAUUUAUGAAAAGAACCUGCUACGGGCCCUACAGAAGCUGGACAACUACUUGAACAGCCCGCUGCCAGAUGAAAUAGAUGCCGACAGCACAGAGGAUGUCACCGUUUCCCGAAGGAAGUUUCUGGAUGGGGACGAGCUCACGCUGGCCGACUGUAACCUCCUACCCAAGCUCCACAUCAUUAAGAUUGUGGCCAAGAAAUACAGAGAUUUUGAGUUUCCUUCCGAAAUGACUGGCAUUUGGAGGUACUUAAACAACGCCUACGCCCGGGAUGAGUUCACUAACACGUGUCCAGCUGACCAGGAGAUUGAGCACGCGUAUUCAGAUGCAGCCAGAAGGAUGAAAUGAUGUUGGGUUGCUUCCUGUCUUUUUCGCAGAUGAGUGAGCGAGGCUUCCUGGAGAACCUUCUCUGCAUCUUCCCAGAAAGGGCUUCUGCAAAAUGCCACUGCAGGAUGCCCGGCCUUGCAAUUUGUCUGCUCAUUCCUCCGUCUCAGCUAUGCUAAUUUAUGCCUUUGAGAUUCAGUUCUCUUGUAAUCCAAGUUUAGGGAGAUCUGUUUUGUGCUCUGUUUCAAAGCAUAGUGGCAUUGACUUCCGCCUCGUCCAUUUUAAAGAAGUUAGUCUUUCCUUCAUAGUUUUGAUAAUCACAAAGAUAGCUAAGUCUUCUCUUCUUACAUAUUUGCUUAAAAUGAGAGGGUGUUUUAUAUUUAUAAUACUUUAGAACCGUGUUAAAGGAUAUGAAGAAGAAAGUAAAAAUCACCUAAAACUUAUGCUAUAUAACUCCUGAUAACAAAUUGGUGAAUAUUUCUAGAAUUUUCAGUCUUUCAUGUAUGCCUGUAUGUGUGCACGCACACACAUAUAUAUGCACAUCACAUAAUUUCAUUCAUUCGUGGUGUGGCAUUUGUAGGAGGUUGAUGAGGGGCCCUCUUGAUGCCUUGGUGGUCAUCACAGGAGACUUAAAACAAAGAAAUUGUCCCUUCCGAGCAACACAAGGACUGUAGGUCCACCUGAGAGCCAAGAGACAGCUGGAACUAGGAUGAUGGGACCAGGUGUCCUCUCUUUCCCUGCAGAGCCAAGGGACAGCUGGAACUAGGGUGAUGGGACCAGGGUGUCCUCUCUUGCCCUGAAGAUUCUGUGGCCUCUGAGUCCAGGAGAGGUGUGGGGAAGAGGGUUCCCCUGUGCCCUUUGUUCUAGCUUCCUUCCUGGUUCCUUCUCUUCUCUCUUCUCCUGAGGAACUGUGUCUUCACAGGAGCUCUUCCAGUCAGCGGCAGCUUGGAGAAUCUUCCUGUCUGUUGUCAUGUGAGCCUAUGAUUUUUGCUCAUAGCAGUUCUUUAGUGAGGAGGAUGUGGUUGAGGCUAGCUCAUCCAUGACUACUUUCUGUCUCAUUCUGAAGCCAAGUAGGAAAACUAAAUUCCAGAAUAAAACCCAGAAAGUCCAACUCUUGAGCAAUUUUGGAAAACGGUCCUUUAACGAGGAGCGGAGGAGUGUUUCGUCUACCGUGGCAUUCCCUCCGUCAUCCCCGUGGCCACCUUACCUCAUAGCAAGGCCCGCGGGCAGGCUGCUUGGCUCCAGCUCAGGCAGGGAUGUGAGGUCGCUUAGAUACUCUGCAAGACUUCUCAAGUUUGUCCCUCCACAGUCACAGGUCCUACAGGAAGCGUCUCUUGUAGCCUUGGCUGAGAAGUACGGUGGGCGCUGGAAUCCUCGUACAUAGUCUGCUCAGUGGACGAUUUGUUUGGAUGCCUUAAAGCAGUAAGAUCCAGGACUGGGUGGAGAAUGUCUUGUAAGGACCCAAAGUCCAAUAUGGAAGCUGCUUUAUUUCUUUGUUUCUUAGAAGCUCUGGCUUCAGCCCAGCAGUCGGUUUCUUUUUCACAGGAAGGAGUCAUGUCUAGCCCUUGUCACCGCGGCCCACAUUAUUUCGUGCCUCUUUAUAGGAGUCAGUUUCUAGAUCCUGCUUUUACAAAGUGGGGUUCAUACUUGGUUAAUGGGUAGAAGUUAGGGUGUUCGUCCUGUUAAUUUUGUUCUGUUAGAUAUUAGGAUGAUCACCAACUGUGUGCCUUAUGAA
This is an RNA transcript of Microtus ochrogaster (prairie vole), 3750 nucleotides long. It is a transcript of the gene named chloride intracellular channel 6, with no coding region annotated. The transcript has 7 exons. NCBI's taxonomy places the organism in Eukaryota, Metazoa, Chordata, Mammalia, Rodentia, Cricetidae. The record is from RefSeq and is a predicted model, not a curated record.